Molecule: long non-coding RNA, 2252 nt
Organism: Malaclemys terrapin pileata
Lineage: Eukaryota; Metazoa; Chordata; Testudines; Emydidae
Exons: 3
Source: RefSeq, a predicted model, not a curated record
GUAUGCUUCUGCCUCCCCCAAUGCUUUCCACUCCCACAGUAGCUUGUGGAGGUGAGAGGGGCCCCAGAGGAGUGGCUGCUGCGAUUGUGCAUGAGAUUGGGCUGGCUCUUCUCUCCCUGCUUCCAGCCACUCUGGGUCCCGGCAGAGCCACCAGCUCAGGGUAGGGGCAGGAGCACAUGUGCCAGCUGUUGAGAUGGGGUGGGUGACAGGGCUCUGGGACCUGGAUGGGGGGUGUCGACACAGAGAGCACCAGCCUAGUACAAUGAAGACCCAUCUUGAUGGGUCCUACUGUAAUGCUCAAUAAUAAUAAUGACUGGUCUAAUUUCACUAUACAGAACUUCUGCUUAGAACCUCCCCCCGCUCCCACUUCUGCCUGACUUCCUGCUUCACACCUCGCUGCAUUUACAGCAAAAUAUCAUAAAUAAAAUUAGCUUUAAGCAUAUGCCGAAGUCCCAUUGCUUAAGUGCUGACCUGCAAAGGGGGUCAGGGCCUGGGUGUCUCACAGUGUCCCAGGUCACUUUUAACUCUGGCCUCCUUAGCAACGACACUGUGGUAUCCGAAAGAGGGACAGGGGAGGAGCCUUCUAAUGAUAUCUGAGACAUGACACAGAGCACACAAAGUCCUCAUCCGCAGCUGACUGUGGACAUGAACAAAUUGUGGCAAACCUCUACUAUGUGUGGCUGAUGAUGCCUAUUAUUUUGUGAGCAAGGAGUGCUUACUGGCUGAUUAGACUGUAGUUCUCAGUGUUAACAAGGAUUGAUAGUUAAUUAGACUUCUGACUUAACUGAGCCAGAAGUUUUACACUGCAGAAACAAUCGUAGUGAUGAUGUACGGUGCGAGGCCUGGCCAUGAAGCUAUUUCUGGCGGCUACGCUAUUUCUGUUUGCCAAGGCUUAAUAAAAGUAUAGGAUUUUUUAAAAAAUGCCUAGAAUAUGUUGCUAAAAUAGAACAACUACAGUGAGUACCUUGGCCUGGCCAGUUCAGGCCUGGAUAAGAUUCCCAUAUUGGUCUUCCCAAAAAAGUACACAGUAGUGGCAGACAGCCACUGGAAAGUGGCAGAAAUGAUUUCCAUGCCCAUAAUGCUAUUUUUACAAUUCCCAGAGUAUUUCUGGAAAGUCUGCCUUUCUAUAUAAUGGAAACAGUGGUGAUUGAUACUGGGCUACAGGUUGUUACGCUGCCAUGUGCCAUGGAGACCAUGGAGUCCAGUAUUAUGCCUACGGUAAUGGAAAAGUCAAUAUGGAUAUUGGCCCGAAGGUGCACCUACACAGGGGAAAAUGACCCGUUGUUGCCAUUUGUUGUUAGCAAUGGAUCCUCUCGGGACCAUCCUCAAUUGAAAAUGAAAAUUGUCUGUUACAGCGAACAGAUCCAAACUGUUUCCAACAGCUAUUGAAGAAGUUAAGGGGUGUCACAUACCUUUUGUGAUUGCUGUUAAAUGUGUGCCUGAAAAUGCAGUAUUACUGUAACAAUGGCAUAAUGAUUUGGUUUUAUUGCUCCUCAACUUCUCUAUCAAAUGUGCUCCUUUUAUAAGUGAAAAGGCAUUUUUUUUCUAAUUGCCAUCCCUGCAAAGUCAAUCUGGGCUCUAAGGGCUAUUCACAAGGGGGAUUUAGGCACCUAACUGCCCCUUUAGGUGCCUGUGACACUCUGUACCCCAAAGUAGCACCCUGGAACCUCCAUAUUCACCACUGUCAUAUGGUUAUGAUAUGUUUUGUACAAAGUAUACCUUGUGGAGUAUCAUUUUAAAAGUCGUGAUUGGUUGAGCUUUAAUAUCCUGUUGGAUCAUAUGUGCUAUAAUUGUAUAUGAAGUUAUGAAGUUUUGCUAUGUGUGUGUUACUGUAAUAUCUUGUGAGGUUGGGAGACACCCACAGCCAGCCUUUCAGCUACAACAAAGGAGUAGCCAUCCGGGCCUUAAUGGCUCCUCAAUGACCAUCCACUAUCAGACUAACACAUGUCACAGCAAGGAUCUUUCUGGCAGCUGGAAGAAAGUAUAAAAGAGGGAGAGUGACAUCAUCACUUGGUCUCCCCCUCACCCCUCACUCAACCCCUGGAAGAACAUCUGGAAGACAAAGACUUUGAACUGGGGAAGUUUGGUCCCAGGCUGGAAAGGGGCCCAGUCUGUGUACUGAGGAACUGUAACCUGCUUGUGCCAUCCGUUAUGGUGAGACACUGCUUGAUUCAAAUCUUCCUUAGUCUGUUUAAGUUAGAAUGUAGACUGUAAAUUUAUUUUUAAUUUCUUGGGUAACAAGCUUUGAUCCC